AUGCUCCAAGGAAUUGGCAGCCUCAAGAGAUUCAAAACAAUAAUUGAUCAAGCAAAGAACCUCACCAUCUUCAUCUAUGCGCAUCACAAGACUUUGGCAUUGAUGAGGGUUGCUACAAAAAGGAGAGAUAUCAUAAGGCCGGGGGUGACUAGAUUUGCUUCCGCUUUUCUCACAUUGCAAAGUUUGUUGGAGAAGAAAGAUGCUUUAAGGUAUAUGGUGGUUGAAAGAGCUUGGGAAGAUAUGAAAAAUGUGAAAACAAAGAAAGGCAAGGAUGCAACGGCAACGGUGAUGGAUGCAAACUUUUGGAAAGGUGUGCUCCUAUGCAUAAAGGUGUUUGAGCCAUUGGUGAGAGUACUUCGUUUGGUUGAUGGGGAUAUUAAGCCGUCGAUGGCUUGGUUGUAUGGAGAGUUGGUGAAUGCAAAGAGGGAGAUGAAGGAGGCAUUUAACAACUUAGAGAGGAACUACAAAGAUACUAUGGGCAUUGUUGAAAAGAAGAUGAAUGGAAGGCUAGAUUCUCCACUGCACAUGGCCGCAUAUGUGUUGAACCCACACUAUAGUUAUGCAGAUAGCUCCGUCUUUACCACUGCAAAUGAAGGAUUUCAGGAGUGUGCUGAACAAUACUAUGCAAAUGAUCAUGAUACUUGCAUGCUGGUUGUCAAUGACGAGUUUCUGAAAUAUGAAAACAAAGAAGGAACUUUUGGAAAGAAGCUUGCAAAAGCAUGUGAAAAUAAAAGCUAUAGCCCCGGUAUACUUGCUUGCUCCUGCCCACUAGUUGCUACUCUUUUCUUGCUGCUGCUAUUGAAGUAUUGA
This 810-nucleotide ribosomal RNA is filed under the name Triticum aestivum (bread wheat). RNAcentral describes it as "partial small subunit ribosomal RNA". The record is from RNAcentral. Lineage: Eukaryota; Viridiplantae; Streptophyta; Magnoliopsida; Poales; Poaceae.